AGAGAAAUCAAACUCCUAGCCCCUGCGCCUACGUUGUUCAUCCGGAACGAUAUGGCGCCUGGGCCGUGGCGAAGUUAGCCACCAGGGUGCAGAGGGGAAACGCUCGCAUCUCCCGACUUUGGAAAGGUGUUAUGGUACCGCAACU
Non-coding RNA from Serratia marcescens subsp. marcescens Db11, 145 nucleotides. NCBI's taxonomy places the organism in Bacteria, Pseudomonadati, Pseudomonadota, Gammaproteobacteria, Enterobacterales, Yersiniaceae. The record is from Rfam.